This 76-nucleotide transfer RNA is filed under the name Alistipes indistinctus. RNAcentral's name for it is "tRNA-Met". It matches the Rfam family "tRNA". From Rfam's summary of the family: Transfer RNA (tRNA) molecules are approximately 80 nucleotides in length. Their secondary structure includes four short double-helical elements and three loops (D, anti-codon, and T loops). Further hydrogen bonds mediate the characteristic L-shaped molecular structure. tRNAs have two regions of fundamental functional importance: the anti-codon, which is responsible for specific mRNA codon recognition, and the 3' end, to which the tRNAs corresponding amino acid is attached (by aminoacyl-tRNA synthetases). tRNAs cope with the degeneracy of the genetic code in two manners: having more than one tRNA (with a specific anti-codon) for a particular amino acid; and 'wobble' base-pairing, i.e. permitting non-standard base-pairing at the 3rd anti-codon position. Lineage: Bacteria; Pseudomonadati; Bacteroidota; Bacteroidia; Bacteroidales; Rikenellaceae. RNAcentral also lists the same sequence under 1 other name. The record is from RNAcentral.
CGCGGGGUGGAGCAGUUGGCAGCUCGUUGGGCUCAUAACCCAAAGGUCACAGGUUCGAGUCCUGUCCCCGCUACUA